RNAcentral lists this ribosomal RNA (1139 nucleotides) under Salmonella enterica. RNAcentral's name for it is "bacterial SSU rRNA". It matches the Rfam family "Bacterial small subunit ribosomal RNA", at positions 1 to 1129 of the family's 1533-position model. The record is from RNAcentral. Lineage: Bacteria; Pseudomonadati; Pseudomonadota; Gammaproteobacteria; Enterobacterales; Enterobacteriaceae.
AAAUUGAAGAGUUUGAUCAUGGCUCAGAUUGAACGCUGGCGGCAGGCCUAACACAUGCAAGUCGAACGGUAACAGGAAGCAGCUUGCUGCUUCGCUGACGAGUGGCGGACGGGUGAGUAAUGUCUGGGAAACUGCCUGAUGGAGGGGGAUAACUACUGGAAACGGUGGCUAAUACCGCAUAACGUCGCAAGACCAAAGAGGGGGACCUUCGGGCCUCUUGCCAUCAGAUGUGCCCAGAUGGGAUUAGCUUGUUGGUGAGGUAACGGCUCACCAAGGCGACGAUCCCUAGCUGGUCUGAGAGGAUGACCAGCCACACUGGAACUGAGACACGGUCCAGACUCCUACGGGAGGCAGCAGUGGGGAAUAUUGCACAAUGGGCGCAAGCCUGAUGCAGCCAUGCCGCGUGUAUGAAGAAGGCCUUCGGGUUGUAAAGUACUUUCAGCGGGGAGGAAGGUGUUGUGGUUAAUAACCGCAGCAAUUGACGUUACCCGCAGAAGAAGCACCGGCUAACUCCGUGCCAGCAGCCGCGGUAAUACGGAGGGUGCAAGCGUUAAUCGGAAUUACUGGGCGUAAAGCGCACGCAGGCGGUCUGUCAAGUCGGAUGUGAAAUCCCCGGGCUCAACCUGGGAACUGCAUUCGAAACUGGCAGGCUUGAGUCUUGUAGAGGGGGGUAGAAUUCCAGGUGUAGCGGUGAAAUGCGUAGAGAUCUGGAGGAAUACCGGUGGCGAAGGCGGCCCCCUGGACAAAGACUGACGCUCAGGUGCGAAAGCGUGGGGAGCAAACAGGAUUAGAUACCCUGGUAGUCCACGCCGUAAACGAUGUCUACUUGGAGGUUGUGCCCUUGAGGCGUGGCUUCCGGAGCUAACGCGUUAAGUAGACCGCCUGGGGAGUACGGCCGCAAGGUUAAAACUCAAAUGAAUUGACGGGGGCCCGCACAAGCGGUGGAGCAUGUGGUUUAAUUCGAUGCAACGCGAAGAACCUUACCUGGUCUUGACAUCCACGGAAGUUUUCAGAGAUGAGAAUGUGCCUUCGGGAACCGUGAGACAGGUGCUGCAUGGCUGUCGUCAGCUCGUGUUGUGAAAUGUUGGGUUAAGUCCCGCAACGAGCGCAACCCUUAUCCUUUGUUGCCAGCGAUUAGG